RNAcentral lists this ribosomal RNA (92 nucleotides) under Escherichia coli. Lineage: Bacteria; Pseudomonadati; Pseudomonadota; Gammaproteobacteria; Enterobacterales; Enterobacteriaceae. The record is from RNAcentral.
CCACCUGACUCCAUGCCGAACUCAGAAGUGAAACGCCGUAGCGCCGAUGGUAGUGUGGGGUCUCCCCAUGCGAGAGUAGGGAACUGCCAGGC